RNAcentral lists this ribosomal RNA (490 nucleotides) under uncultured bacterium. RNAcentral describes it as "bacterial SSU rRNA". It matches the Rfam family "Bacterial small subunit ribosomal RNA", at positions 28 to 513 of the family's 1533-position model. The record is from RNAcentral.
GAUGAACGCUGGCGGCAGGCCUAACACAUGCAAGUCGAGCGGUAGAGAGGUGCUUGCAUCUCUUGAGAGCGGCGGACGGGUGAGUAAUGCCUAGGAAUCUGCCUAGUGGUGGGGGAUAACGUUCGGAAACGGACGCUAAUACCGCAUACGUCCUACGGGAGAAAGCGGGGGGAUCUUCGGACCUCGCGCCAUUAGAUGAGCCUAGGUCGGAUUAGCUAGUUGGUGAGGUAAUGGCUCACCAAGGCGACGAUCCGUAACUGGUCUGAGAGGAUGAUCAGUCACACUGGAACUGAGACACGGUCCAGACUCCUACGGGAGGCAGCAGUGGGGAAUAUUGGACAAUGGGCGAAAGCCUGAUCCAGCCAUGCCGCGUGUGUGAAGAAGGUCUUCGGAUUGUAAAGCACUUUAAGUUGGGAGGAAGGUAGUAACCUAAUACGUUGCUACUUUGACGUUACCGACAGAAUAAGCACCGGCUAACUUCGUGCCAGCA